RNAcentral lists this ribosomal RNA (457 nucleotides) under uncultured Rikenellaceae bacterium. Its description in RNAcentral is "bacterial SSU rRNA". It matches the Rfam family "Bacterial small subunit ribosomal RNA", at positions 927 to 1382 of the family's 1533-position model. The record is from RNAcentral. Lineage: Bacteria; Pseudomonadati; Bacteroidota; Bacteroidia; Bacteroidales; Rikenellaceae.
AAGCGGAGGAACAUGUGGUUUUAAUUCGAUGAUACGCGAGGAACCUUACCUGGGCUAGAACGCAUUCGGAAUCAGGCCCGAAAGGCCUGCGCCAGCGAUGGCCGCUUGCGAGGUGCUGCAUGGUUGUCGUCAGCUCGUGCCGUGAGGUGUCGGGUUAAGUCCCAUAACGAGCGCAACCCCUACUGCUAGUUGCCAGCGGGUCAUGCCGGGGACUCUAGCGGAACUGCCAGCGUAAGCUGCGAGGAAGGUGGGGAUGACGUCAAAUCAGCACGGCCCUUACGUCCAGGGCUACACACGUGUUACAAUGGCCGGUACAGAGGGCAGCCACCCCGCGAGGGGGCGCGAAUCCCGAAAGCCGGUCCCAGUUCGGAUCGGAGUCUGCAACCCGACUCCGUGAAGCUGGAUUCGCUAGUAAUCGCGCAUCAGCCACGGCGCGGUGAAUACGUUCCCGGGCCUU